GACGAACGCUGGCGGCGCGCCUAACACAUGCAAGUCGAACGAGCGAGAGAGAGCUUGCUUUCUCAAGCGAGUGGCGAACGGGUGAGUAACGCGUGAGGAACCUGCCUCAAAGAGGGGGACAACAGUUGGAAACGACUGCUAAUACCGCAUAAGCCCACAGGUCGGCAUCGACCAGAGGGAAAAGGAGCAAUCCGCUUUGAGAUGGCCUCGCGUCCGAUUAGCUAGUUGGUGAGGUAACGGCCCACCAAGGCAACGAUCGGUAGCCGGACUGAGAGGUGGAACGGCCACAUUGGGACUGAGACACGGCCCAGACUCCUACGGGAGGCAGCAGUGGGGAAUAUUGCACAAUGGGGGAAACCCUGAUGCAGCGACGCCGCGUGGAGGAAGAAGGUCUUCGGAUUGUAAACUCCUGUUGUUGAGGAAGAUAAUGACGGUACUCAACAAGGAAGUGACGGCUAACUACG
Molecule: ribosomal RNA, 464 nt
Filed under: uncultured bacterium
Lineage: Bacteria
Description: partial 16S ribosomal RNA
Rfam family: Bacterial small subunit ribosomal RNA
Source: RNAcentral